This 95-nucleotide small nucleolar RNA is filed under the name Nannospalax galili (Upper Galilee mountains blind mole rat). RNAcentral's name for it is "Small nucleolar RNA ACA64 (ENSNGAG00000008173.1)". It matches the Rfam family "Small nucleolar RNA ACA64", at positions 33 to 128 of the family's 128-position model. The record is from RNAcentral. Lineage: Eukaryota; Metazoa; Chordata; Mammalia; Rodentia; Spalacidae.
GGUGGCAAGGGAAAAAUGGAAAACAGAAUCAACAGGGGCCUCACUCACCACCUGCUGCCACUGUGUGGUAGGGUGAAACCCAGGCCCCAACAAUC